RNAcentral lists this unclassified non-coding RNA (409 nucleotides) under plant metagenome. RNAcentral describes it as "partial contains small subunit ribosomal RNA, internal transcribed spacer 1, and 5.8S ribosomal RNA". The record is from RNAcentral.
UUUCCGUAGGUGAACCUGCGGAAGGAUCAUUACAAUACGUUCUCACACGUAUCAACCAAACGUUGAACUGUUUAAGCGUCCGAUAGGAUUAUGGGUUAAUGGACCGGCGGCUUAGAGGUGGAUGAUAACACCCAACAUCAAACUACCUUUGUGUGUUUGAGGUGAUCCAAAAGUGCCUCGGUCGGUUCUUGUUUGUGUGCUCCGAAAGGACUACACAUGACAGCCCUUUUCCUAGUUCGCGUAUUUAUCCAUUCAAACACUUUUGCAUCGCCUUUUCCUCAUUUUUAACCGUUUUCACCUUUUACUAUUGUCAAUGAUGAACUCAACACGAAAAGAUGCCUAACGGCGUCGUUUUUCGAUAUUUUACGAAACGUAAGAACAACUCUUAACAACGGAUAUCUUGGCUCUC